AGGCACGCUGGCGCUAGGUGAAGUGGUUUACCCAUGGAGCUGAAGCCAGUCGCAGAUACCAGCUGGCUGCAACUGUUUAUUAAAAACACAGCACUGUGCAAACACGAAAGUGGACGUAUACGGUGUGACGCCUGCCCGGUGCUGGAAGGUUAAUUGAUGGGGUUAUCCGUAAGGAGAAGCUCUUGAUCGAAGCCCCAGUAAACGGCGGCCGUAACUAUAACGGUCCUAAGGUAGCGAAAUUCCUUGUCGGGUAAGUUCCGACCUGCACGAAUGGCGUAAUGAUGGCCAGGCUGUCUCCACCCGAGACUCAGUGAAAUUGAACUCGCUGUGAAGAUGCAGUGUACCCGCGGCAAGACGGAAAGACCCCGUGAACCUUUACUAUAGCUUGACACUGAACAUUGAGCCUUGAUGUGUAGGAUAGGUGG
RNAcentral lists this ribosomal RNA (425 nucleotides) under Providencia rettgeri. RNAcentral describes it as "partial 23S ribosomal RNA". It matches the Rfam family "Bacterial large subunit ribosomal RNA", at positions 1744 to 2150 of the family's 2925-position model. The record is from RNAcentral. Lineage: Bacteria; Pseudomonadati; Pseudomonadota; Gammaproteobacteria; Enterobacterales; Morganellaceae.